This 253-nucleotide ribosomal RNA is filed under the name uncultured bacterium. RNAcentral describes it as "partial 16S ribosomal RNA". It matches the Rfam family "Bacterial small subunit ribosomal RNA", at positions 524 to 776 of the family's 1533-position model. The record is from RNAcentral.
UACGUAGGGGGCAAGCGUUAUCCGGAUUCACUGGGCGUAAAGGGAGCGCAGGCGGCAUGGCAAGUCUGAUGUGAAAACCCGGGGCCCAACCCCGGGAGUGCAUUGGAAACUGCCAGGCUGGAGUGUCGGAGGGGUAAGUGGAAUUCCUAGUGUAGCGGUGAAAUGCGUAGAUAUUAGGAGGAACACCAGUGGCGAAGGCGGCUUACUGGACGACUACUGACGCUGAGGCUCGAAAGCGUGGGGAGCAAACAGG